RNAcentral lists this ribosomal RNA (492 nucleotides) under uncultured bacterium. RNAcentral describes it as "partial 16S ribosomal RNA". It matches the Rfam family "Bacterial small subunit ribosomal RNA", at positions 30 to 507 of the family's 1533-position model. The record is from RNAcentral.
AUUGAACGCUGGCGGCAUGCUUUACACAUGCAAGUCGAACGGUAACAGGCCUUCGGGUGCUGACGAGUGGCGAACGGGUGAGUAAUGCAUCGGAACGUACCCAGAGGUGGGGGAUAACGCAGCGAAAGCUGUGCUAAUACCGCAUGUGAUCUGAGGAUGAAAGCGGGGGACCGAGCAGCAAUGUUUGGCCUCGCGCCUUUGGAGCGGCCGAUGUCGGAUUAGCUAGUUGGUGGGGUAAAGGCCUACCAAGGCGACGAUCCGUAGCUGGUCUGAGAGGACGACCAGCCAAACUGGUACUGAGACACGGCCCAGACUCCUACGGGAGGCAGCAGUGGGGAAUUUUGGACAAUGGGCGCAAGCCUGAUCCAGCAAUGCCGCGUGCGGGAAGAAGGCCUUCGGGUUGUAAACCGCUUUUGGCAGGAACGAAACGGUGUCCGCUAAUACCGGGCGCUAAUGACGGUACCUGCAGAAUAAGCACCGGCUAACUACGUG